UAACGCGUGGAGAACCUGCCGUAUACUGGGGGAUAACACUUAGAAAUAGGUGCUAAUACCGCAUAAGCGCACAGCUUCGCAUGAAGCAGUGUGGAAAACAAAAGGCUAAAGCUUUUGGUGGUAUACGAUGGAUCCGCGUCUGAUUAGCUUGUUGGCGGGGUAAAGGCCCACCAAGGCGACGAUCAGUAGCCGGCCUGAGAGGGUGAACGGCCACAUUGGGACUGAGACACGGCCCAAACUCCUACGGAAGGCAGCAG
Molecule: ribosomal RNA, 257 nt
Filed under: uncultured bacterium
Lineage: Bacteria
Description: partial 16S ribosomal RNA
Rfam family: Bacterial small subunit ribosomal RNA
Source: RNAcentral